UGGUUCUGGCAUCGAUGAAGAACGCAGCGAAAUGCGAUAAGUAAUGUGAAUUGCAGAAUUCAGUGAAUCAUCGAAUCUUUGAACGCACAUUGCGCCCGCUAGUAUUCUGGCGGGCAUGCCUGUUCGAGCGUCAUUUCAACCCCUCGUGACCCCUUCCUUGCGGAGGGUGACCGGUGUUGGGGACCCGCCGAGCCGCCUCACGGCGGCGGGCGGACCCCUAAAGACAGUGGCGGAGCCCCCGUGGAAUCCGAGCGCAGUAAACUUACCUCUCGCUCUGGCGGCCCGGGCCUGGCUUCCUGCCGUAAAACCCCCCAAAUUUUACCAAGGUUGACCUCGGAUCAGGUAGGAAUACCCGCUGA
This 359-nucleotide unclassified non-coding RNA is filed under the name uncultured fungus. Its description in RNAcentral is "partial contains 5.8S ribosomal RNA and internal transcribed spacer 2". The stretch from base 1 to 133 matches the Rfam family "5.8S ribosomal RNA", at positions 22 to 154 of the family's 154-position model. Lineage: Eukaryota; Fungi. The record is from RNAcentral.